Molecule: transfer RNA, 73 nt
Filed under: Canis lupus familiaris (dog)
Lineage: Eukaryota; Metazoa; Chordata; Mammalia; Carnivora; Canidae
Also listed under: 1 other name
Rfam family: tRNA
About the family: Transfer RNA (tRNA) molecules are approximately 80 nucleotides in length. Their secondary structure includes four short double-helical elements and three loops (D, anti-codon, and T loops).
Source: Rfam by way of RNAcentral
GCCUGGCUGGUUCAGUCGGUGGAGCAUGUGACUCUUGAUCUCAGUAUUGUGAGUUCGAGCCCCACGUUGGGGU